Molecule: non-coding RNA, 85 nt
Organism: Paramuricea clavata
Lineage: Eukaryota; Metazoa; Cnidaria; Anthozoa; Malacalcyonacea; Plexauridae
Source: the annotation of a GenBank genome assembly
GAUUACAUGACAAAAUUUUCAACCCAGGGCUGAGUUCAACCCCGGGGUUGAACUCAGCCCUGGGUUGAAAAUUUUGUCAUGUAAU